CUGAAAGGUAGCCGCCUGCCAGCCAGUCAGUUACAAUUUUGAGUGAAAUUCUCCCCAAAAAUAGAUGCUGCGAUUUUUGUUUGUUUGUCAUUUCUUUACCGUUAUGUUGUAAAUGAAAGUUAAAUAUUUGUGAGUUUUGGUUGGCAUGUAGCUCAAGAGGAGAUUUGUGUUGGGAUGCAACAUUAAUGUUUUGUAUGUGUAUAAAAGGCAGGUGUAAUAUUGGCAUGAAUGGUAUAACAAAUUACGGUAAUUUAGAACACUUGUUCAUACAUUUAUAUGGGAAUUCAAAAUGUAAAUUUAAAAUGUCAAGGUUUGUUCCGUAGCACUCGAUUUUACAAUAAAUGUGCUAAAUGCAAAUGGUGAAAAUUUA
Long non-coding RNA from Stomoxys calcitrans (stable fly), 370 nucleotides. RefSeq lists it as uncharacterized. The transcript is spliced from 3 exons. The record is from RefSeq and is a predicted model, not a curated record. NCBI's taxonomy places the organism in Eukaryota, Metazoa, Arthropoda, Insecta, Diptera, Muscidae.